UACGAAGGGGGCUAGCGUUGUUCGGAAUUACUGGGCGUAAAGCGCACGUAGGCGGAUUGUUAAGUCGGGGGUGAAAUCCUGAGGCUCAACCUCAGAACUGCCUUCGAUACUGGCAAUCUCGAGUCCGGAAGAGGUUGGUGGAACAGCUAGUGUAGAGGUGAAAUUCGUAGAUAUUAGCUAGAACACCAGUGGCGAAGGCGGCCAACUGGUCCGGUACGUGG
RNAcentral lists this ribosomal RNA (221 nucleotides) under uncultured bacterium. RNAcentral's name for it is "partial 16S ribosomal RNA". It matches the Rfam family "Bacterial small subunit ribosomal RNA", at positions 524 to 744 of the family's 1533-position model. The record is from RNAcentral.